ACUAAAAUGGCAGAUUAGUGCGUAGGAUUUAAGCUCCUUUAAGGGAAUAGUUUAUUCCUUUUAGUA
This 66-nucleotide transfer RNA is filed under the name Sepioloidea lineolata. RNAcentral's name for it is "tRNA-Leu". Lineage: Eukaryota; Metazoa; Mollusca; Cephalopoda; Sepiida; Sepiadariidae. The record is from RNAcentral.